This 202-nucleotide long non-coding RNA is filed under the name Elaeis guineensis (African oil palm). RNAcentral's name for it is "long non-coding RNA (EGUI_LNC052786)". The record is from RNAcentral. Lineage: Eukaryota; Viridiplantae; Streptophyta; Magnoliopsida; Arecales; Arecaceae.
UCCGAACAUCGAGUCUCAUUGCUAGAUGGUUAUAUCGAUUAAUAUAAAAAAUUAUUUCUAUGCUACCGACUUAGAUUCGAACCUAUGGGGUCACACAUAUUAGAAGAUACGAUCUGAUCUGAUAGUUGAAGAGUCCAAUUGGAUUGUGACUCUGGUGAAGAGUCCCACUGAACUGGAACUCUGGAGGAGAGUCCCACUAGAC